Molecule: transfer RNA, 88 nt
Filed under: Chloroflexota bacterium
Lineage: Bacteria; Bacillati; Chloroflexota
Also listed under: 2 other names
Description: Chloroflexi bacterium (anaerobic digester metagenome) tRNA-Ser
Rfam family: tRNA
About the family: Transfer RNA (tRNA) molecules are approximately 80 nucleotides in length. Their secondary structure includes four short double-helical elements and three loops (D, anti-codon, and T loops).
Source: RNAcentral
GGAGCGGUAGCAUAGUCCGGCCUAAUGCGCGCGCCUGGAGAGCGCGUGGGCGGUUCCCGCCCCGUGGGUUCAAAUCCCACCCGCUCCG